Beta vulgaris subsp. vulgaris (sugar beet) is the source of this 2133-nucleotide long non-coding RNA. RefSeq lists it as uncharacterized. The record is from RefSeq and is a predicted model, not a curated record. Lineage: Eukaryota; Viridiplantae; Streptophyta; Magnoliopsida; Caryophyllales; Amaranthaceae. The transcript has 2 exons.
ACUACAGAAAAUUCACAACUAUAUUGCAGAGUAAGCUGUAUAGUUGUUUAUUUUAGUCUUGAUUUUUAGAUAAGCUUUUUGUAUUCUUCUGAUAGACAGUGUCUUGCAGAGUUGCAGUGAUGUUUACAAUGUGUUUAGAGUGUUGUUGUUUGUGGAGCUGAACAAUGCUUUACAUAUCAAGCCUUGAAGGUUCCUUUGUUUUCUUCUGGCACCCACAGUUUUACUCUAUUUAAAACUAAUAAUGGUUGCCUUUGCUUGUCCUUAUCCAAUGGAGUAGAAGAGUACAAGUAAACUAAAAUUGUUUUGUGACUUGCUUGGACUGUUUAUUCAUGCGAAGUUGCAGCCAGAUGUUGCAUAUUUGCAACGAAAAUUGAUGCUAUUCAUGAUGUACUUGAAGUCUUGAAACAACUCAGAUGUUCAUAAAAAAAAGUUCAUGCAUCUGCACUUGCUUUAAUUUUAAGCACUAGAUCCAUACUGCAUGAAUUUGUUGUAAUACUGGUUCAAAAAGAAAUAAAGUUAGACAGUUGAGAACUUCAUAAUCUUGAUUUUCAUUUCUUGGACUAAUUAAGAAGUAUCACGGUUGCAAAUCACUUGAUGUGCAAUACUAGAUGCUUCUUUAACAUGUUAUAGCUUGUGAUUCUAGAAUUCUGGUAGCACAAUGGAAGUUUACUCAUGAGUGACGUGCUUGCUAACCUUAGGAUGUGAGGCUUAAUUGCUCAAGUAUUUCCCAAGCCGGCCCAUCUUGGUGGAUUAAGCUGAGUUUGGAGAGGAAACAUAAUGGAAUUUUAUUUAUGAGUGAUGUGCUUGCUAACUUUUAUCCAUUCUGAACAAAGCUUAUGCUUUAGGAUGUGAGGCUCGCAUAUUUCCAAAAUCGGCCCAUCAUGGUUGAUUAAGCAAAUCUUGGAGAGGAAACCUGAAGUGGGUCGAACUUUGUUUCUCUCGACCCUCUCGUAUAUGUUCUUGUACGCAAUGCCUGUUUAGAGAUGACCUACUAAAUGGAUGCUUCCUCUUUUUCAUGGCAAUAAGGAAUUGAGGAUAUUCUGUAUGGGUUUAUGACUUGUGAGGUCUUUGUAGGAACAAUGAAUCUGAAGAAUGAAAUAUUGUCAUACUAUCAUUUUGAAGAUCUAGUGAAGCUUUUUGGGCUUUCUUUGUUGCUACAAAUCGAUAAAAUUUAGGAACCAAUUUAGCUUGUUCGUGAUAUAUAUAUUCUAUGUUGACGUUGCUGUUUUUGACUUCCACAGCCAGGAAUGGAGUACGGGAAGAACUGUUAUGCUGAUGAGCACUAUUUGCCGACUUUCUUCCAUCCUUUAAAUCUGCUCAGAUGACUGAUCCUGGGGGAAUAGCGAAUUGGUCGGUGACAUUUGUUGAUUAUUGGUCUGAAAGAAAGUGGCAUCCCAGGUCCUUCAGAGCUCAAGAUGUCACUUUUGAACUUCUAAGAAAUAUGACGGUAAUAUUUCUAUAUUACGAUUUUGUUUUGGCAGCUAGUGUUAAUGAAUAGCUUGGUAACUUUAUUUUGGCAUGAUGCAGUUUAUUGAUGAGAGUCUGCAUCUGACAAGUGAUGAGAAGGUAAUUUUUUUACUAAAGUAGAAUUUCAGAAAGGUAUCAAAUAUGUUUGUAAAGAUUUUCUCUAACACAUGAGGAUGGUGUCUUACAUGUUGUUACAAAAUCCAGUGACAGUUACACCAUGCAAGUGGAACGGACAGAAGCGAGCUUGUUAUCUAUUUGAUCGUAAAUUUUAUCCUGAGACAUUAGAAAAGUUGAUUAGUCUAUUCUCCAAUUAUACAGUGGUUUAGUGAGCCAAAUUCUUCAUUCUUUGGUCAAUUGAAAUGGUCGACCUAGUAUUUUUUUUUUUGGUAUAUAAUCAUUAGGAUGUAGCGAGGUUUGAAAGUGGAAUAUCCUCAGGUGCAGUAUGUUGCAGCUCAGCAGGUCCAAUGUUCCGAAAUGUUGGGUGAUCGGCUGAGCCAUCAGCAAUCCACCAUUGCUUGACUUGAGGACAAGGAGCCAAGGGCUAACUAAUUUGCAGUCCCUCCUGCUCUUUUUUAUAUUUGUUGUUUUUAUAUUAUAUUUUUUAUGUUUUUGAAUUUUGUAUAAUAAUUUUUUGUCAUUAGUAUCAAUCAAGAGUGUUUUAUUUUA